This is a long non-coding RNA of Scylla paramamosain (green mud crab), 3804 nucleotides long. RefSeq lists it as uncharacterized. NCBI's taxonomy places the organism in Eukaryota, Metazoa, Arthropoda, Malacostraca, Decapoda, Portunidae. The record is from RefSeq and is a predicted model, not a curated record. The transcript is spliced from 2 exons.
GGUGUGCCUGGGGGAUGGUGGGAAUGGAGAAAGGUAAGGAGAGAGAGAGAGAGAGAGAGAGAGAGAGAGAGAGAGAGAGAGAGAGAGAGAGAGAGAGAGAGAGAGACGGGAAGGGUGGAUGGGUCGGGAGAGACAGGGCGAAAGGUACUGAAGGAUAGAGAGACGUAGGACGACGAGGAGACUGGAAAGGUGUAGGAGUCAUGAGAUAAAGAGAAAAGAGUAAAGGUACAUCGUGAUGCUGACGAGAGAGAGAGAGAGAGAGAGAGAGAGAGAGAGAGAGAGAGAGAGAGAGAGAGAGAGAGAGAGAGAGAGAAUAGACUGGAAAGGAGAAAGGAAGAGGAGGGACGUGUGGGAGGUUGGAACAGCAGAAGGAUGGAUAAGGAGAGACAAGCCAGUGUGCAUUAACUGCGCACGUCACUAUGCAGGAAUCAGCAGGGACAGGAUGUGUGCUUGUAGGCAAGGCAGCCAGGCCCGGCGAACGUGAACACCUACAUGUGCGUCAUCCUCUCUCUCUCUGUGUGUGUGUGUGUGUGUGUGUGUGUGUGUGUGUGUGUUACGUCAGAGGCAGCUGCUGUACCACUCCCUUUCCUUUCUCUGUAUCCACAUGUCACAGAUUUCCUAAGCUGGUGGCUGCAUGUUAGGCUGAGUGGGUGGUGGUUGCGGCGGCAGGGAGAAGACAGAGGGGGAGUGAGGCAGAGUGAGGGACGCGGCGGCCGUGGCUGGGUUGAACAAACGCGGAGGAGUUGUGUGUGUGGCGAGGCACGGCAGGUGUGCUGGUGGGGCCUAUUGAUUGUUGGUGGAACGUGGAGUGCGGGGCUGCUGCUGCUGCUGCUGCUGCUCCAGGUGGAAUGUGACUCGCCUGGCCUGCCACACCGACGCUCUGCUGCCACCACCAUCACCAACGCCACCAUCACAACCGCUGUUGCUAUUGGAGCAGCAACUCGUAAUGCCAACUCCGCCACCACCACCACCACCACUGUUCUGUUUCUAAGCCGUCAUGUAACGUCAUUGAGAUUCACACACACACACACACACACACACACACACACACACACACGGUAAUAGUUACAUGAAAUUAGCACAGACUCUCCCACGCCCGGCAAAAUCGUGUGUGUGUGUGUGUGUGUGUGUGUGUGUGUGUGUGUGUGUGUGUGUGUUCUGGUUUCCCUGUGCGGGUAUAAGUGUUGCUUUCUGUGAUGUUCAGCUCCGAUAUCAGGUUAAAUUUAUACACAAAGGUAUUGUGUGUGUGUGUGUGUGUGUGUGUGUGUGUGUGUGUGUGUGUGUGUGUGUGUGUGUGUGUGUGUUUCUUAUCAUAUUAGAUUUUUACAAGAUAAGGUCGGAGUCACUAGCCACAAUAUUCUGUCUGCAAAUACUUGUGAAUUACACGCUUCUCUAAAUUCACGGAGGGAUAUUUCUGGCACGCACAAUUUCCCCUAGUAACUGCUGUGUGUGUGUGUGUGUGUGUGUGUGUGUGUGUGUGUGUGUGUGUGUGUGCGCGCUGCACGUAGGUAUGCCGCCGUGAUUUCAGCUCUUGAAUGUUCCUCUGUGAUCGAUUUGUUUACUGUCGCAGUGUGUGAAGGACGAGUCGGGAGGGAGGGAGAGGGUAGUGGGUGGGUGGGUGAGUGGGUGUUCCGUGUGAGAAGGGAGAGCGUGUGAGAGAAGCAGAGGUGAGGAGUGAGAGAGAGGAAGGGAGGGAGGGAGGGAGGGGCAGGUAGAGGCAGAUCCACAUACACUUGUCGUCCUAAUAUGGAAGUUGAUAAAACGAGGCUUGCAUUCUCAUUGUUCAUGCUCGUGGCUGGCAAGGUGGCGGUGGUGGUGGAGGUGGUGGGGUGUUUGGGACCGCGCCGUGCACACAUCAGCAUUGCGAGACCUGGCAACCGUAGCAUGGGUAAGGUGGAGUCGCUGCCGCCACCAGCUCGCUACCGCCGCUCCGUUACACUUGGUAACCUUCGCGCUGAGGGAAAGGUGUGCCGCCCCGGUGCUCCAUCCUGACACCGGCCGCGUUUCGCUGUGUCGUUGUGUCUCGCCGCGAACUGACGGGGAUCUGUGCCUGCACACUGGAAAUACCGUAAAUGUAGUUUGAAACCAGAGAGGAGAUCAGUAAGAGGGAAGACACGAGAUAUUCUGCAGAAACAUUGCUGUGUACCGUGAGUGAACCAGAAUGACUGGGAGGUGUUGGUGAGGCGACGGACCAGGAUCAGCGGGCCAUCGUGACAGGCGCCACUCGUGUUACUUUUGUGUGUGGGGAAGAACAGUAUAGUGUGUGGGCAAAGGACAUUACUGUUGAAGAAUAAAAAAUGUUGCAGUAACGAGUUGAGAUGUGGUGUGAUUUUAUCAAUAAAGUAAAUAUUUGCAGAAAGCAUUUGUUAAUUCCCACUCCUUGGAAUUGAGCAUGCCCUUCAGAUGAAGAGAAGCCUGGUGUGGUAAUGGGGCAACAUACGCAAGCAGAUGCGGGUGGUGUGGUCACAAGGUAACGUAAGGAACCUGAUGGUGAGACUCGUGUAGAUGGUAAUGAGGUGGUGUGGCUGGUGUGGUAAUGAGGUGAAAGGAGGAAGCUGUGGCUUUGCCUGGGCAGUAGCAGACAAGCCAUUAAAUAAAUAGCCAGCCAGAGUACCGGUCAUGUUAGCGGCGGUGAGUACAUCUGCAGGUGUUGAGGUGCCUCGUCUCGUCUGCACCAGGAGGCUCGGCACACACUGGCCAGGAUUUAUUUUUUUUUUUUUUAAUAAUGAUGAUACUGGUAUGAUGGAAACACGUUUGAAAUGUGGUUACUUACAUAAGAAUAUGUUAAGAGUAGUUGAGAUAGGACGCGAGAAGUACGAGAACACGAGAGGAGUGAUGUGUCGUGCAUUGCGUGUAUUAAAUAAUGAUGGUGAAAAUAAAGCAACAUCGUAAACACACUCCUUAGGCAACGCUCAGCACUGUGAAAUUUGCAUAUGUUGUGCAUGAUGAAAAUAUUAGUCGAAAAAAGUGAGCCAAGAAAAAUAGAUGUCAAAGGAAAACGGGUCACAAUUUUUUUUGUUUCAGGACAAAAUGGCAAUUAAGAGUAAUGUUAUGUCGCGGUACUAGUUGUGUUAAGCUUAGAAGUCGUUAGCCGGGAUUCUAAACAUGUUAGCAAGCUCCAGGCUGUGCUGGUGAUGCUCACACGAAGAUUAUGGCGUUUUUGUUGUGCCGCUUUUUCCUGUGUCUUCCCCUGCACUCGCUGGAUUACGAUGAGGCAAAUGAGUGGCGAAGGUGGCUGGGAAAUUCAGGGUGAUGGCAAGAAGAGUGUAAUAACAUUCUCAUGUGUUUCAAGUUCUCGUCUUCAGAAAAUUUUUUUUAUUAAUGUAUUUUAUUGUGUACUGUGUACGUAAUUCUGUUGCAGUUAUUAUAAUUAUAUUGUUUUUAUUUUAUAGUCAGUCAGUUGAGUUUACUUUAGACCAGUAAAGUAAAACUUGCGAAAGCAAUGACUUUAAAAGUUUACUUAUCAAGAAAAAAAAAGAGUUUCCUCCGCCAGUGACACAAGCGGGAUUCUGAAUUUCUCAGAAUAGGUGGUGCUUUACUUCAGCAUCAGUUUCCCCUUCCCAACUUUGCCAUAAAUUUGGAAAUGUUGAAGGUGACGCUUCCUGCUGAAAACGUUCAAGUUGGUGGGCUGAAAUGACACAGAAGGAGGCGGCAGUGUGCUGUUGCAGGGAGUAGACAAGGCAGUGGUUAGCUCACGGGAGAGUGUAGGGUGUGUGAAGUGUUGAAGCAAAGUGGCGGUCCCUGUCGGUGUGGUGGCGGUGCUGCUCGUCUUGCCAGAUGGUCAACUGGCUCUCUGGAGAAAAA